UGACCUCAAAUCAGGUAGGACUACCCGCUGAACUUAAGCAUAUCAAUAAGCGGAGGAAAAGAAACUAACAAGGAUUCCCCUAGUAACUGCGAGUGAAGCGGGAAAAGCUCAAAUUUAAAAUCUGGCGGUCUUUUGGCUGUCCGAGUUGUAAUCUAGAGAAGUGUUAUCCGCGCUGGACCGUGUACAAGUCUCCUGGAAUGGAGCAUCAUAGAGGGUGAGAAUCCCGUCUUUGACAUGGACUACCAGGGCUUUGUGAUGCGCUCUCAAAGAGUCGAGUUGUUUGGGAAUGCAGCUCAAAAUGGGUGGUAAAUUCCAUCUAAAGCUAAAUAUUGGCGAGAGACCGAUAGCGAACAAGUACCGUGAGGGAAAGAUGAAAAGAACUUUGGAAAGAGAGUUAAACAGUACGUGAAAUUGCUGAAAGGGAAACGCUUGAAGUCAGUCGCGUCGUCCAGGGAUCAACCUUGCUUUUGCUUGGUGCACUUUCUGGUUCGAUGGGUCAGCAUCAAUUUUGACUGUUGGAAAAAGGUUGAGGGAAUGUGGCAUCUUUGGAUGUGUUUAUAGCCCUUGGUCACAUACAAUGGUUGGGGUUGAGGAACUCAGCACGCCGCAAGGCCGGGUUAUAAA
Molecule: ribosomal RNA, 624 nt
Filed under: Cortinarius alboviolaceus
Lineage: Eukaryota; Fungi; Basidiomycota; Agaricomycetes; Agaricales; Cortinariaceae
Description: eukaryotic LSU rRNA
Rfam family: Eukaryotic large subunit ribosomal RNA
Source: RNAcentral